GAUGAACGCUGGCGGCGUGCCUAAUACAUGCAAGUCGAGCGAACAGACGAGGAGCUUGCUCCUCUGACGUUAGCGGCGGACGGGUGAGUAACACAUGGAUAACCUACCUAUAAGACUGGGAUAACUUCGGGAAACCGGUGCUAAUACCGGAUAAUACAUUGAACCGCAUGGUUCAAUAGUGAAAGACGGUUUUGCUGUCACUUAUAGAUGGAUCCGCGCCGCAUUAGCUAGUUGGUAAGGUAACGGCUUACCAAGGCGACGAUGCGUAGCCGACCUGAGAGGGUGAUCGGCCACACUGGAACUGAGACACGGUCCAGACUCCUACGGGAGGCAGCAGUAGGGAAUAUUCCGCAAUGGGCGAAAGCCUGACGGAGCCACGCCGCGUGAGUGAAGAAGGUCUUCGGAUCGUAAAACUCUGUUAUUAGGGAGGAACAACUGUGGAAGUAACUAUGCACGUCUUGACGGUACCUAAUCAGAAAGCCACGGCUAACUACGUG
Molecule: ribosomal RNA, 497 nt
Filed under: uncultured bacterium
Lineage: Bacteria
Description: partial 16S ribosomal RNA
Rfam family: Bacterial small subunit ribosomal RNA
Source: RNAcentral